RNAcentral lists this ribosomal RNA (406 nucleotides) under uncultured bacterium. Its description in RNAcentral is "partial 16S ribosomal RNA". It matches the Rfam family "Bacterial small subunit ribosomal RNA", at positions 29 to 526 of the family's 1533-position model. The record is from RNAcentral.
AUUGAACGCUGGCGGCAGGCCUAACACAUGCAAGUCGAGCGAGCGGCUGACGGGUGAGUAAUGUAUGGGGAUCUGCCCGAUAGAGGGGGAUAACUACUGGAAACGGUGGCUAAUACCGCAUACUAUCGGAUGCACCAAGAUGUGCUUAGCUAGUCGGUGGGGUAAAGGCUCACCUAGGCGACGAUCGCUAGCUGGGCUGAGAGGAUGAUCAGCCACACGGGGACUGAGAAACGGCCCAGACUCCUACGGGAGGCAGCAGUGGGGAAUAUUGCACAAUGGGCGCAAGCCUGAGGCAGCCAGGCCGCGUGUAUGAAGAAGGCCUUAGGGUUGUAAAGUACUGUCAGCGGGGAGGCGUUACCCGCAGAAGAAGCACCGGCUAACUCCGUGCCAGCAGCCGCGGUAAUAC